GGCAAACACAGACAGUUUCUAGUUGCAAGAUAUCCCCCAUGGCAGAGAAAAAAAAAAGUUUCUUCUGGGAUGCAGACAAUCCAGGAAUCAGUGAUAAUCCACUGACCUUUCUAGGAAGUAAGAGCAAAGAACAAACAGGUUAGAUUCUGAGAAGCUGUUUCUAAGUUUGAUGGUUUUUUUUUUCCUAAGCCUGAGGCACUGAGAAGGGUUCAAGCUUGUAUUCUCCAGAUGCAAGCCAACCUAUUGCUGCAACUGACAAAUGAGUAUAAUACUGACACAAAUGUGGGCUGUUUUUGUUUGUGUGUGAAGACAUAUGUCAGAACUCCACUCAUCUGUCAAUGAUGGUGCAAAUAAAGCCCGAUUUCCACUGGCAGCUAUUAUAACCAGGAGAGGAUCCUGCCUUUGGCUAAGGCCAGCGGAAAGGAAGGCAAAUGGAGAGACACAAAGAGCCUGAAUCUUUGAGCCAUCACUCAGUUGCGAUCAAACUGCCUGGAACCCACCCCACCCCGAUCGCCUGCUCGGACAAAAAUAACUGAAGCUCCCAUUGUUCAAACCAGCUUGUGUCAUGGUUUCUGAUGUUUAUAACUAAGACCAAUUCAAACAAUACAAUAUUUUAAAUCUUUAUUAUUUUUUAAGGAAACAAUAGCUUAAGGGUAAAAACUCAUCUCUAAUUGUAAAAAAAAAUUAUCUCUAAUUGUAGGCUUUUGAAGUUAGGGUCGGUCAGUAUUUUUAGAUAGAAUCUUUCAAAACUCAGGAGAGAGACUCAGCUUAUUUCAUGUGUAUGAUGAGGAUGUCUCCUUUAUUCUUUUUCCUGCUAUCACACUUAUGCCAGGCUUUCUUUCAAAACUUAACUCACCCAGCUCCUUGUCUUUGAAGCCUUCUUUUAAUUCUUCUCCCACAUUCCCCAAAACCAAGUCAAUUCUCUCCCUCAGUGCCCUCAUGUGUAUAAAUUGCAUAUCAUAUGGCAUUUUUUUCAUGUCUGUAAGACUCCCAAUUUCCCAAAGG
This 1005-nucleotide long non-coding RNA is filed under the name Homo sapiens (human). RNAcentral describes it as "non-protein coding lnc-RP9-2:1". The record is from RNAcentral. Lineage: Eukaryota; Metazoa; Chordata; Mammalia; Primates; Hominidae.